RNAcentral lists this ribosomal RNA (468 nucleotides) under uncultured bacterium. RNAcentral's name for it is "partial 16S ribosomal RNA". It matches the Rfam family "Bacterial small subunit ribosomal RNA", at positions 28 to 507 of the family's 1533-position model. The record is from RNAcentral.
GACGAACGCUGGCGGCGUGCUUAACACAUGCAAGUCGAACGGAAAGGCCCUGCUUUUGUGGGGUGCUCGAGUGGCGAACGGGUGAGUAACACGUGAGUAACCUGCCCUUGACUUUGGGAUAACUUCAGGAAACUGGGGCUAAUACCGGAUAGGAGCUCCUGCUGCAUGGUGGGGGUUGGAAAGUUUCGGCGGUUGGGGAUGGACUCGCGGCUUAUCAGCUUGUUGGUGGGGUAGUGGCUUACCAAGGCUUUGACGGGUAGCCGGCCUGAGAGGGUGACCGGCCACAUUGGGACUGAGAGACGGCCCAGACUCCUACGGGAGGCAGCAGUGGGGAAUAUUGCACAAUGGGCGGAAGCCUGAUGCAGCAACGCCGCGUGCGGGAUGACGGCCUUCGGGGUGUAAACCGCUUUCGCCGGUGACGAAGCGUGAGUGACGGUAAUGGGUAAAGAAGCACCGGCUAACUACGUG